CAAAAGCUCUCCUAAAAGGUGGGUUUUAAGGCCACGUUUAAAAUCAUCCACAGUCUGUGGGGUCCUCAGGUGGUCAGGGAGAGCCUUCCACAGUCUGGGAGCCGCUGAGCAGAAAGCCCGAUCUCCCAUAGUACGGAGCUUUGUCCUGGGAGGUUUCA
Etheostoma spectabile (orangethroat darter) is the source of this 158-nucleotide long non-coding RNA. RefSeq lists it as uncharacterized. Lineage: Eukaryota; Metazoa; Chordata; Actinopteri; Perciformes; Percidae. The transcript is spliced from 2 exons. The record is from RefSeq and is a predicted model, not a curated record.